RNAcentral lists this ribosomal RNA (1392 nucleotides) under uncultured bacterium. Its description in RNAcentral is "16S ribosomal RNA". It matches the Rfam family "Bacterial small subunit ribosomal RNA". The record is from RNAcentral.
AGAGUUUGAUCCUGGCUCAGGAUGAACGCUAGCGACAGGCUUAACACAUGCAAGUCGAGGGGCAGCGGGGGCGUAGCAAUAUGCCUGCCGGCGACCGGCGCACGGGUGAGUAACACGUAUGUAACCUGCCCUAUGCAGGGGGAUAACCCGGAGAAAUCCGGCCUAAUACCGCGUAACACCUUAGGGGAGCAUUCUCUUGAGGUUAAAGGAGAGAUCCGGCAUAGGAUGGACAUGCGUCGCAUUAGGUAGACGGCGGGGUAACGGCCCACCGUGCCGACGAUGCGUAGGGGUUCUGAGAGGAAGGCCCCCCACACUGGUACUGAGACACGGACCAGACUCCUACGGGAGGCAGCAGCGAGGAAUAUUGGUCAAUGGCCGAGAGGCUGAACCAGCCAAGUCGCGUGAGGGAAGAAUGUCCUAAGGAUUGUAAACCUCUUUUGUCGGGGAGCAAAAAGGCUCUGCGGAGUCGUAUUGAGAGUACCCGAAGAAAAAGCAUCGGCUAACUCCGUGCCAGCAGCCGCGGUAAUACGGAGGAUGCGAGCGUUAUCCGGAUUUAUUGGGUUUAAAGGGUGCGCAGGCGGCGUGUCAAGCAAGCGGUAAAAUAGCGGGGCUCAACCCCGUCGAGCCGUUUGAACUGGCGCGCUUGAGUUCAGGCGAGGUAGGCGGAAUUCGUGGUGUAGCGGUGAAAUGCAUAGAUAUCACGAAGAACUCCGAUUGCGAAGGCAGCUUACCAGUCUGCGACUGACGCUCAGGCACGAAAGUGUGGGUAUCGAACAGAAAUAGAUACCCUGGUAGUCCACACAGUAAACGAUGAGCGCUAGGUGUCCGGGUCGCAUGAGACUGGGGUGCCCGAGCGAAAGCGUUAAGCGCUCCACCUGGGGAGUACGCCGGCAACGGUGAAACUCAAAGGAAUUGACGGGGGCCCGCACAAGCGGAGGAACAUGUGGUUUAAUUCGAUGAUACGCGAGGAACCUUACCCGGGCUCAAACGACUCAGGAAUAUAUUGGAAACGAUGUAGCCAGCAAUGGUCUGAGUCGAGGUGCUGCAUGGUUGUCGUCAGCUCGUGCCGUGAGGUGUCGGCUUAAGUGCCAUAACGAGCGCAACCCCUACCGCCAGUUGCCAACGGGUAAAGCCGGGAACUCUGGCGGGACUGCCGGCGCAAGCUGUGAGGAAGGCGGGGAUGACGUCAAAUCAGCACGGCCCUUACGUCCGGGGCGACACACGUGUUACAAUGGCAGGUACAGCGGGAAGCCACCUGGUGACAGGGAGCGGAACCCGAAAGCCUGUCUCAGUUCGGAUUGGAGUCUGCAACUCGACUCCAUGAAGCUGGAUUCGCUAGUAAUCGCGCAUCAGCCAUGGCGCGGUGAAUACGUUCCCGGGCCUUGUACACAC